Molecule: ribosomal RNA, 252 nt
Filed under: uncultured bacterium
Lineage: Bacteria
Description: partial 16S ribosomal RNA
Rfam family: Bacterial small subunit ribosomal RNA
Source: RNAcentral
UACGUAGGGGGCUAGCGUUGUCCGGAAUCAUUGGGCGUAAGCGCGUGUAGGCGGCCCGGUAAGUCCGCUGUGAAAGUCGGGGGCUCAACCCUCGGAAGCCGGUGGAUACUGUCGGGCUCGAGUACGGAAGAGGCGAGUGGAAUUCCUGGUGUAGCGGUGAAAUGCGCAGAUAUCAGGAGGAACACCAAUUGCGAAGGCAGCUCGCUGGGACGUAACUGACGCUGAGACGCGAAAGCGUGGGGAGCAAACAGG